AUACACAUCACUAAGUCAGUAUUUGAAUUUAGUUGGACUUGUCAAAAUUAAUGAAAAUGUUGUUUUAUGUGCUACUAGCAAUAACUUAUUCAUAUGUACAUGGUGGUGAAGUAAACAGAAACUCCAGAUUCUUAGUAUCUCCGAACUGCGGCAAUGGAGGGAACUCACAGGCAUGUCUUAACCCAUAUACAGGACAAUGGUAUCCUGUGUGUUGUUUACCACCUUCGACGGGAAUGUGCUGCAGAU
This is a long non-coding RNA of Mytilus trossulus (common blue mussel), 246 nucleotides long. RefSeq lists it as uncharacterized. The transcript is spliced from 3 exons. The record is from RefSeq and is a predicted model, not a curated record. NCBI's taxonomy places the organism in Eukaryota, Metazoa, Mollusca, Bivalvia, Mytilida, Mytilidae.